UUAGUAAAAUGAUCAAAACUUGUGUCAACAAAGUAUAUUUUGUCCCCAGUAGGUAGACAAAAGAAAAAGCCAUACUUGCCCCCAGAUUAUGCUAGUAAUAGUGAGUUUUUUAAAAUAUAUUCAUUGUGUUUGUUAAGAUUAGUCAGGUUCUCCUCUAAUAGCUGUAUUUCCAUCCAGUGACUGUAGCUGAUUUGAAGCAAAUAUUAUGAAUGGACUCCCUUGCACCUGCAGUUGUGAAAAGGGAAUGCUUAUCUGAAAUCAGAACAAGGCAUCCUUUUCCCAGUCUCUGUCAAUAUACAAAGGUUUCUGAUGUAUACUGGUUUGCACUACAGUUAAAAACAUGCAAAAAAUUUAAAUUAUAGCCAGGACAAGUCAGAAAAUUAGAGAUCAGCGUAAACUGUUGUACUUUUGUGAUAUAGCUACAAGUCUCAAAUUAUAUGUCUUCACAGUACAAAUUAGAUGCUUAAAGCAGAAUAGAAAUUUAGGUAUCAGUUACAAAGGAAAUCUUGUUCCCCUGCUUGGUAGUUUACACCAAGGAAAUGUUGAGGGCAAUAAAGCUAAACAACAACAACCAAAGAAACCAGCUGCACGACUCUGGGUUUAAUUUUCGAAGUAGAACGUACAAGUCCCAAAUAUAAUGAAUAUAGUGAGCAAGGGGGAUGUUAUUAGUAAAAUCUGAACAUUAUUCUGAUCUAGAAAAAAAAUUAUUGGAGUUUGUUUUUCAGCUUUUGUUGGUGGGAAUUACCGACAAUCAGAGAAACAAUAACACCAUAAAAUGGUUAAUGAGUAACUAGAAAACACUAAAGAAUACCUAAUGGUUAAUAUUUGAAGAGUUAAUGUAGGAACACUGCUUUUUCUACAUUUGUUAGUUUUGGAAGGCUAAAAAUCAUUUUAACCUAAAUUUUCAUAUAACAAUAUGAGUGAAAAAUUUCAGAAAUUACCAUUUCUUUUUAAAAAGUGGUAGCUAUUACAAUUAAAUUUCAUCUUCUGUGUAUAAUCAACUAUUAUUUUACAUAAAAAUCAACUGGAUUACCA
Molecule: long non-coding RNA, 1035 nt
Filed under: Bos taurus (domestic cattle)
Lineage: Eukaryota; Metazoa; Chordata; Mammalia; Artiodactyla; Bovidae
Description: long non-coding RNA NONBTAT019375
Source: RNAcentral